CCCUUAGACGUUCUGGGCCGCACGCGCGCUACACUGACCAGUGCAACAAGCAUCCGUCCUUGGCCGACAGGCUCGGGCAAUCUUUGAACGCUGGUCGUGAUGGGGAUAGACUUUUGCAAUUUUUGGUCUUCAACGAGGAAUUCCUAGUAAACGCAAGUCAUCAGCUUGCGUUGAUUACGUCCCUGCCCUUUGUACACACCGCCCGUCGCUCCUACCGAUUGAAUGGUCCGGUGAAGCGUUCGGACCGUGGCCUUUGGACGGUUCGCCGUCUGUUGGCUGCGGGAAGUUCGUUAAACCUUAUCAUUUAGAGGAAGGAGAAGUCGUANCA
Molecule: ribosomal RNA, 328 nt
Filed under: uncultured eukaryote
Lineage: Eukaryota
Description: partial 18S ribosomal RNA
Rfam family: Eukaryotic small subunit ribosomal RNA
Source: RNAcentral